Cimex lectularius (bed bug) is the source of this 78-nucleotide small nucleolar RNA. RefSeq annotates it as small nucleolar RNA R38. The transcript has a single exon. The record is from RefSeq and is a predicted model, not a curated record. Lineage: Eukaryota; Metazoa; Arthropoda; Insecta; Hemiptera; Cimicidae.
AUGUUUUCUGUGAUGAUUUAAUACAGUUAUCCCUGACAUAAUAAAUAUUUGCUGAUAACUAUUUGCUCUGAAAAACAU